This 258-nucleotide ribosomal RNA is filed under the name uncultured bacterium. RNAcentral's name for it is "partial 16S ribosomal RNA". It matches the Rfam family "Bacterial small subunit ribosomal RNA", at positions 524 to 776 of the family's 1533-position model. The record is from RNAcentral.
UACGUAGGGGGGCAAGCGUUGUCCGGAUUUAUUGGGCGUAAAGAGCGUGUAGGCGGCCGUACAGGUCAGCUGUGAAAACUCGAGGCUCAACCUCGAGACGUCGGUUGAAACCGUACAGCUAGAGUCCGGAAGAGGAGAGUGGAAUUCCUGGUGUAGCGGUGAAAUGCGCAGAUAUCUGGAGGAACACCGGUGGCGAAGGCGACAUCCUGGACCGGUAUUGACGCUGAGGGCGCGAAAAGCCAGGGGGAGCCAAACGGG